Molecule: ribosomal RNA, 4344 nt
Filed under: Triticum aestivum (bread wheat)
Lineage: Eukaryota; Viridiplantae; Streptophyta; Magnoliopsida; Poales; Poaceae
Description: partial small subunit ribosomal RNA
Source: RNAcentral
CAGGGCGGGUGAUGGGGAGGAUCAGCAUCAGGGGGGAGAGGGAGAGGGAGAGAGAAUAUCAGAUGUCAACAAAUCUGCCGUCCUUGCGGCUCGUUUAGAAAGAGGGUCCAAGGUGGUUCCAUUCCCAUCCCCCCCCAGAGGAGAGAGGAGAGAGAGAGGCCAGGCCAAACGACGCCAAUCCAAAACCCCCAAAAGGAGCAAGGGAAGAGAGAGAGAGAGAGUGGGGAGUGAGGAGCAGAGAGAGAGCAAACCAAGAUACUCCUACAUCCGCAGACAAGUGGUUCGUUCGUUCGUUCGGGGACGAGGACGAGGACGAGAACGAGAACCCACCGCUUUCUCUCCCUCUUCCUCGCCCUCCCUGGCCCGGCCCCAGCAAAUCCGGUUCCGGCCGAACCCGUCCCGGAUUCGUCGGAGCUCCCAGCGUCCUCCUCCCCGAUCGCCCCCCCUGCCGCCGCCAGAGAGAUUUGCCUCUUUUUUCUAGGACAUAUAGAUAGAUAAAUAAAUAUCCUGCCUUGGUUGGGUUGGGUUGGGCGGGUUCUUGGGCGGCGCGGGGUUUCUUGGGGCAUGGCCGUGGCGGCGGUGCCGGACACGACGCUCGCCCGCCGAAUGCUGCGGGUCGUCAGGCUCAACCCGCUGCAGCGCAGCGCCAAGAAUCCCUGAGGUUAUUUCUCUUGAAGUGAUAUUCAGAUUGGAAGGUAGUAUUGAUUCACCUGAGCAAGUCAAGCUGUCCAGUUAGCUCAAAGCAUUAAAGAUUGGAAUUUCACACGCGCAUUGCAUUCACACUGUGAUUUCCCUUUGGUGUCCUGUGAUGUGAUGAUCAGUGCUGGUUGCCGUCCGGGUCAAGGGGAAUUUUAGCAUGAUUGCUACAUGCUCAUUGUUUUGACUGUAAUACUAAUGGGAGCUAAAGUGGAAGGUGAGAGUUACAAUCCUGGAUACUAUGCUACAGGGGAUCUGCACAUGGACUCAAAUGGUUGGCGCUCUCCAUACUAUGAGGAUAAGACAUCAAAUGGGCAGUUGUACAAUGGCUUCAUGACGAAGCAGGCAGACGGUUAUUCAGAAUACGACAACGAAACGCUAAAGCGCACAAUGCUUUCACAUGAAGCUAUGUUUAGACAGCAGGUUUAUGAACUGCACCGGGUUUACAAAAUACAGAGAGACCUGAUGAAGCAUUAUGAAAACAAAGACGCAUAUGCAUACCCAGAACUGGCAGAUGCAUCACAGACAAAUUCGUCAUCACAAGUUCCACCAAAUGGCUCAAAGAUGAUAUGGCAGAUGCCUCUGGUGGCCAAAACAUACGGAGAGGCUACUGUUGCAGUGCACACUGAUACAAACCACUCCUUGAAGUUCCUUAGUGAUGGCAGUGUCCUGCCCUCUCCAAAUGGAUUCCCCUCAAAUGGUGUUGCUUUAAAUACCAAGCAAGGCAUUAUUGACCUUGAGCUUCCAGCUGAUCAUUAUAUAGAUGAUGACAACACAUCAGAUAAUAAGCCUAUAGAUUUCCUUGGUGUAGAUUCGGGUACAAAACCUCCGAAUGAUGCCAGGGUCACAUUCAGUGGUGCAGAAGGCCUGGGGAGGUUCAAUGAUAAUAGCUCAACCUCUGGUUUGCUGACUACCAAUAAACCGGGAGGCUGCCAUGUCGCUGACCUGAAUGAGCCAAUUACUGGGAUGCAUAUGGGUGGAACAAACGGGUCCGUAUCCAGAGCUCUCCUGUAUACCUUGGAGAACUCUUGGCACCAAUCUGCAGUGAGAUCAAGCACAGCUAACUUUGGUUUCAAUAAAGAAUACUCCAAAGAGAAGCAUACUGACGAAGGAACAAGCUCAAAUUUCCUUGAUGCAAGUGCCAAACUAAGACAGGAGGAGAAAUCAUUGAUUGAUAAAGGAAAACAAGUCAGCAACCAAUCUUUUUUUACACCCAGAUACAGCAAUGUUGAUCUGCAAAAAUCCUUCAAAGUUGCUGAUGGGAGAUCUGCAACCAAUGAGUUUAUUUACCAUGGUCAAAACAGUUCAGUUGGAUGGUUUUCAAAAGGUCCUAUGGGAGCAUCUCCCAUCAAUAAUUUUGCUAGACUUGACCAUCCACAUCAUUCAAGUAUUGGUACACCUGUUGCUCCAAUCUCCAUUCCUCACAUAGACCAUCCUUCCGUCGCCUCUCCUAUAGGUUCUUGCACAGUGGACCCAAGGAGCAGUGUUAUCAACAAUGCUUUCCAGCGAGUUCCAAGUUUCAAUGGAUCUUCAACUGUUAAUUCAUACAAGAGUCCUAGUGCUGUGACCCAAAGCAUUGGACCUUCAAUUCAUAAGCUGAAAAGAUUUGAUAAUUUGGAUGGUAGUUACUUUGGCUUUCCACCUGAUCCAUUUUCCGCAUCACGAUCCAGACAACAGGUUGCAAUUUCGAGCGAGUUGGAGCAAAGGAACUGCCUGAUGUUUGAACAUUCAGCAGCACGGCAGUCUCAUGGGUAUCCUCAGUCCACAAACGGCAAGGGCACAAAGAACUUUAAUUUGAAUGAAGCACUGUCAGAUGGUCUGGAAGAGCUUGUAGAACAGGAUGGGAGAUCUGUUGGUAGUUUGCAGCAUAGUAAAGGUGAAGGAUCAGUAUUUGGGAUCUCUUGGCUAAAAAAUAAAGCUACUUGUGCUGACCCAACAGGGCUGGAAAAGCAAAGAAAGAUGCUUGGCCAUUCCAACGGGACUGCAGCAGACACGAAAAUCAACAAUAACUUGACGGGAAUAACACCGAUUGUUUGCAAUUUGUCAGAUUCUGCCUCAACGUCCCUAGGUUGCAGAAUUAAGAUAGAUGAUGCUUCUGAAGGCAUCACUGAUAGAACUUGGCUGGUAUGUAAUAAGACUGAGGAGAGUACCACGAGACAUUUACCACUUUCAAGCCAGAAACCCUUGGAUAGAGAUGGACAAGCUGCUGAAGGUGUUGUCAACAAAAGUGGUGCGGCCGUCGUCAGAAAUUUGUUUGAUCUGAAUGAUGAUGUACCACAUGAAGACAACUCAGAGUCAUCAGUAGUGUCACAUGAAUGUGAUGUGGCGGCCUUACAGAACAACCAUGCUAAGCGCACAUUUUUGUUUGACUUAGAAGAAGUGCCAGCUUGUGAAGAUGGUGCUGCCUGGACUUCUCAACAGGAAUGCACACCUUCUGGCAAACUUGGUGCAUCCAAGGAAGUUGAUUUGUGUUUUCCAUCCGCUACAGAUGCAGCGCAGAUUAUUCUUGCGUUGUCAACGGAUGUGCCGACCACCACAGGCACACCCGAUGAUAUGUUGCAGUGGUUUGCGGAGCUCGCAAUAUCAAACAUGGAUGACCAUGCCGAGCAAGCAAAAGUCCAGGGUUGCAUCGAUAAUUCCAGUGAUGAUGGUUCAGACUCAUUUGAAGCCUUGACACUGAAGCUGGAAGAGUGCAAGACCGAUGAGCGCUGGACCAGGACACCAGAACCACCACUGACAGAUGAUGACCAAGCUGUUUCAGCGGUGAACCUGCUGUCCAAGCCAAAAAGAGGACCGCAAAGGAAGCGGCGGCAGAAGCGAGACUUCCAGAAGGACAUCUUGCCCGGGCUUUCAUCGCUUUCCCGGCCUAAGAUCAUAGAGGACAUUCAGCUAAUUGAGGGGUUAGUACAGGCAUCUGGUGGAUCAUGGGAGUCGAGUUUAACCAGGCGAGCGCGUGGUGGGCGAACAAGAGGUAGAAAGCCCCGCAAAAACGAGCCAGCUACCGUAGAGAUAGAAGCCGAGGCCGAGGCGAGCCCGCCCUCGAAACCCAACUCCAUUGGCUUAGAAGCUGAUGAAAGGGGCAUGGUUAGCUGGGGGCGAACAACAAGGCGGUGUCGCAAGCCAAGAUGCCCGUUGGGCAAUAGCGUCGCCGCUUCGUCCUGAACGACCUCUGAUACUGGUCGGUUUCGGAUUCAGAUUCUCCAUCAGAGAUUGCGGUGGACUGGUAUAAAGGUAAAAAAAAAUAUCACAGCCAUGAGUGUGCAUACUCUGCUGGCCUGUUUGGCCGGCCUCCCCCCUGCAGAGAUUUCAGGUCGAAACAUGGUGUACAUUUUUUUCUAUAAUAAAUUCUUAAACUAGUCUAUAUAUGACAAUUUCUGUAACAGCGUUGUAUUAAGCUGGGUCCAGGGCCUGAGCUGAGAGGCCUGCUGUAAUUCUUGAGAUAGUGGCGAGGUACCUUGACUGGCCGGUACUCGGAAAUCAAAGAGGCUAAUCGGUGUAGUUCUAUAUAGUUUUAUCAUGUUUUGUUUUGUGUUUCUGUAUGUAAGUUUCUGUGUUUCUGUAUGUAACUUGCUGCUUCAUUUGGCUGCAAUUUUUGCUUCGCGGCCUGUAACUCAGCGCUGCCUAGUUGGAGUGGAGACUGGACACCAC